This is an RNA transcript of Mastomys coucha (southern multimammate mouse), 3187 nucleotides long. It is a transcript of the gene named polyadenylate-binding protein 1 pseudogene, with no coding region annotated. NCBI's taxonomy places the organism in Eukaryota, Metazoa, Chordata, Mammalia, Rodentia, Muridae. The transcript has a single exon. The record is from RefSeq and is a predicted model, not a curated record.
AGCAGCCCGCCCGCGCUGCCGACCUCCAGGUUCUUGGCGGUUGAGGGGCUUUCCAUUCCGGUUGACUUCUGUUCCUAUGCUGGUCCCUCUCCCUGCUCAGUCUUUGCAGACAUGAACCCCAGCGACCCCAGCUACUCCUUGGCUUCGCUCUAUGUGGGGGACCUGCACCCGGACGUGACCGAGGCGAUGCUCUACGAGAAGUUCAGCCCGGCAGGGCCCAUCCUCUCCAUCCGGGUGUACAGGGACAGGACCACCCGCCGCUCGCUGGGCUACGCAUCUGUCAACUUCCAGCAGCUGGAGGACGCUGAACGGGCUUUGGACACCAUGAAUUUCGAUGUGAUAAAGGGCAAGCCGGUUCGCAUCAUGUGGUCUCAGCGGGACCCGUCGCUGCGCAAGAGCGGAGUAGGCAACAUAUUCGUCAAAAAUCUGGACAGGUCCAUUGACAGUAAAACGCUGUAUGAUACGUUUUCUGCCUUCGGUAACAUCCUUUCCUGUAAGGUGGUGUGUGACGAGAAUGGUUCCAAGGGUUACGGCUUUGUACACUUCGAGACACAAGAAGAAGCCGAACGAGCAAUUGAGAAAAUGAAUGGGAUGUUCCUAAAUGACCGCAAAGUGUUCGUUGGGCGCUUUAAGUCUCGUAGAGACCGGCAGGCUGAACUUGGAGCCAGGGCCAAGGAGUUCACCAAUGUUUACAUCAAGAAUUUAGGAGAAGACAUGGAUGAUGAGAGACUCCAGGAUCUCUUUGGCAGAUUUGGGCCUGCCUUAAGUGUUAAAGUCAUGACUGACGAAAGUGGAAAAUCCAAAGGAUUCGGAUUCGUAAGCUUUGAAAGGCAUGAAGAUGCACGAAAGGCAGUGGAUGAGAUGAAUGGAAAAGACCUCAAUGGAAAACAAAUUUAUGUAGGUCGAGCUCAGAAAAAGGUGGAACGACAGACUGAACUGAAGCACAAAUUUGGGCAGAUGAAACAAGAUAAGCACAAAAUUGAACAGGUACCACAAGACAGAAGCGUCAGAUGCCAAGGUGUUAACCUUUAUGUGAAAAACCUUGAUGAUGGUAUUGAUGAUGAGCGUCUCCGGAAGGAGUUUUCUCCGUUUGGUACGAUUACUAGUGCAAAGGUAACGAUGGAGGGUGGGCGCAGCAAAGGGUUUGGUUUUGUAUGUUUUUCCUCUCCAGAAGAAGCCGCCAAAGCCGUUACAGAAAUGAAUGGUAAAAUAGUGGCCACAAAACCACUCUAUGUAGCUUUAGCUCAACGCAAAGAGGAGCGCCAGGCUCACCUCAAUAACCAGUACAUGCAAAGAAUGGCAAGCACCAGUGCCGUGCCUAAUCCAGUCAUCAGCCCUUUCCAGCCAGCACAGGGUCCUUCAGGUUUCUUCAUGACUGCUACACCACCGACUCAGAACCGUGGGACAUACUAUGCUCCUAAUCAAACUGCUCAGCAAGGACCAAGUGCCUGUGGGAGUGCUCAGGGUACCAGAGCUCAUCUAUUCCAAAACAUACCGAGUGCCAUCCACCCAUCUAAUAAUACUGUGUCAUCAUUUAGUACUUCAGGACCUGCUUCCUCACAAGCUAUACGACAUCGUACUGCCAACACAUCCACACAGAUGAUGGGCCCACAUCUUGCAGCUGCUUCUACUGCAGCUGCUCCUGCCACCCGCGCAGUUACCCAGUAUAAGUAUACUGCUGGAGUCCGAAAUCCCCCUCAGCAUCUUAAUACACAGCCACAGGUCACCAUGCAGCGGUCUGCUGUUCCUGUCCGAGGUAAAGAGUCUUUAACUGCCUCCAUGUUGGCCUCUGCUCCUCCUCAAGCUCAAAAGCAAAUGUUAGGGGAAUGGCUGUUUUCUCUUAUUCAGGCCAUGCACCCCGCUCUUGCUGGUAAAAUCACUGGUAUGCUGUUGGAAAUUGAUAACUUGGAACUACGCCACAUGCUUGAGUCUCCAGAGUGUCUUCACACCAAAGUUGAUGAAGCCAUAGCUGUACUACAAGCCCACCAAGCUAAAGAGACUCCCCAGAAAGCAGUCAGCAGUGUUGCUGGUGUCCCAACUGCUUAAAGAUGAGCAGACAAAAGCAUAAAAACUCCUGGUUCACUGAAGAAAAAUAUCUAGACAUCGAAAACUAUGACAACAAAAAGCAAACUAGAAACUAAAUGAAAAGGAAAGAAACUUAUAAUCUCCUGUGCCAAGUCAGUGUCAGGUCUAGUGAGCAACCCCAGGUCACUUGGUUUAAGACAACAGAUAACAGAAAAAGUGACAUUUAAGAACAAAUUAAUGUUAUCGACUUUGGGGAAAUGAUUUUCUUUUUAGGAAAGCGCAAAAAUUAUUUUGUUUGUAAUUCAAAUAGCUCAAGAUGUCAAUUCUAAGUAAUAGAGUUGAUACUUGAGCAAGGACUAUGAUUUGAAUCAUAAUAUCCUUGCUUUACUAAAGCUUCCUUAAAGAGUAAAAGGGAGAAAUAAAGGCAUCACUGUUGGCCAAUAAUACCUGUGAGACUUCUAGAAGGCUACUUCUAUCUGUGGCAGCUGUAUUUCCACUCGGCUGUUGCCAGAUACAAAACACAUACCAUCUGUACUUCACAACCCCAUCAACUGAUGCACCAGAGUACCACCUUCAACUUAGAAGCUUCUGUCUGUGGCACACAUGAGCUACAGAAAAUCAUUUUUACAGUCGUAAAAGUUACCUUUAUAGUCUCUGGAUUUCACUGAUCCCCUUUCAUAGCAUCUAAUGAACUAACUUAUGUAAAUAUGUGCCUUCUUCAAACUCAAUCUAACUUUCAGAUUACAUUUAUGCAUUGGCACCUUGCUGUGUUCUGGAAGAUACAGGAGUUUUGGUUUUUUGAAACUGUUUUGGUGGAAUAGAUGAGAAGCUAAAACAAAAGUAUUGGAUCACCAAAAACAUACAAAAACGUAGGGGAAGAAAGACGGAAUGAAGGAGAUAGGAGACUUGGAGAUAGAGUGAGCAGUUUGGAGGGGAGAGGGUUAAUCUGAUUUUUUUCAGACCCUAAGAAAACCCAAACAGAUAUCAGGAAAACAGGCAUGCCCUCUGGAGCAGAUAUAAGCUAAGUGGGUUCUGGAGAGGGAAAAGCUGGGUGAGUGGCUUUCUCCACACAAAGAGGGAGGAUUUGAGUAGAAAAACAACAAAUGGGUUGGUUUUCAAGAAUAUCGAUCUAUACAAUAAAGCUGUUCUUCACAAAUACAAA